AUCCAAACAUCUUCUCUGAAUGGAAAUCUGUCAUCAUGAGUUAACCAUAAAUGCAUGUUAGGUUAUGCUGCUGUCUUCCCCACAACCUGCUCAGCUGUCUGGUAUAAUGCCCAGUGCUGAAGACAGGUUCCAUACAACGCUACUACUUGAGAGCAGGUAUAACAUGGACCAACAAUGGGACACAAUGGUCAUUAACUUCCUACUUUUCCUACAAACCUCAUCUAAAGGACGCAGUGAGGGAAAGAUAAUUCACAGCUGGGAUACCUUUGAUUUCCUCAGCUGCCACUUCAUAUCAGAAAAUCUUAAGAAUCAGUUUGCAGGAACCAUCUGUCAUGUCCCCACCCCCACAGCACUGAGGAAGACAGAUACUGAAGCCCACCUGUUAGUCCUGUUAUUCUCGUCUAGAAAAGAAUUUACAGUAAGUCUCUGCUUCAAUCAGUUUCCAUGGUAACUUGGUCCUGUUUUUAAACCUUUACAUAAAAAUGGCUUGGUUAAAAUGAUAAUGCUGGAAUGCUUGCCCAUACCUGAACUACACCUUUUCCAUUACUCAACAGUAUUCAAUUAGGGGUGUCCCUCCAUCUGCUCCAGUUCCUUUAGCUCCUACAAUACCGUCUCACUAACCAAAUCAGAUCAGUUUCUUUACCAUCUGACUAUCUCACUUUUCAGAGACACACAGGAUUUGGGGUACUGACACAAAGCAUGCUGUGAAGUACAGAGUAAAGCAUGUUAGGGGCUGGAUUCUUGAGUUCACUGGGGAGGGUCCCUCUAGGUGCAGUGGGGCCAAAAGCUCCAAGUAGAGGUAUCUCUUUAAAAAAUGAACCAGAAGAGGUACAAGGGCCCCCACCUAAGAAAACUGUUUUCACAAAGGUAAAAAAAAAAUUCCCCUUCCAUGAAGAUCAAGGGGAAAUAAAAGUUCAGAAAAGCAAAUGAAAAUUGUAAUU
RNAcentral lists this long non-coding RNA (941 nucleotides) under Anser brachyrhynchus (Pink-footed goose). Its description in RNAcentral is "lncRNA (ENSABRG00000023160.1)". The record is from RNAcentral. Lineage: Eukaryota; Metazoa; Chordata; Aves; Anseriformes; Anatidae.